GUCUACGGCCAUACCACCCUGAACGCGCCUGAUCUCAUCUGAUCUCAGAAGCUAAGCAGGGUCGGGCCUGGUUAGUACUUGGAUGGGAGACAGGAUGACUUCUCAGUGUGAGCC
Ribosomal RNA from Mustela putorius furo (domestic ferret), 114 nucleotides. The record is from Ensembl. NCBI's taxonomy places the organism in Eukaryota, Metazoa, Chordata, Mammalia, Carnivora, Mustelidae.